AGCCUAAUUUGAGCGAGCCCAGCAAUACUCAAGCUCAGCUUGAAGUAAAUUUUGAAUUUUUUUUUUCUAUUCAACCUCAGCUUAUUUAAUUUUUGAGUCGAACUCAAACGAGCUGAAUACUGAGCCGAACAUGAGUCGAACACAAGCCAGCUCGCUUAUUUGCCGGCCCUAGCAUUGUUUCGAGAGUCGGAGUUUUUAUAGGCAGAUAGUGGAAGAUCGAAAUAAAUCCAUAGAACGAACCGCUAGGGACCUGUUUGUUUCACCGAAAUUGGACUUUGACUGAAAGUGGAAUUUGAUGAAAACUAGUCUUCUAUUGUUUGUUCAUAGCUAUGGAAAUGAAGUUCCUUCAAUUCUGAUGUUUAUUUUAGCAGAAAGCGAAUAAUAUAAAAUUAUAAUUUAUGUAUAAAUAAUAAAUUAUAAUAUAAUAAAUAUAAAUAAUAUAAUUAUAUUUCUGUAUAAUUAAAAAAAUUAAACUAAAAUAACUAAAUUAUUUUUUUAUGCAUAAAUUAUAAUAAUACAACAAUAAAAUUAUAAUGUAAUAUAUAUAUAUAUACUUAACUAAUUAAUUUUCAUCAUAACUAAAUGAAGUAAUAAAACUUAACUAAUCAAAUUUUAUCAUAUUUUAAAUAUACAAACUAAAUAAAAAAAUAAUUAGUCUCAUAAUUAAAUAUAUUUAAAUAUAACUAGCANUAUAUAUAUAUAUAUAUAUAUAUAUAUAUAUAUAUAUAUAUAUAUAUAUAUAUAUAUAUAAUUAUAACUAGCAUUACGUAUUGUAUUAUUUUAUUAUUUUUUUCUUUAUCUCUCUUCAUCAUAAUUGACUUCAGCCGAGGGUAGGCCGAAGUCAAUUACGCUGUUUCGGAUAACUCGAGUAUUAACCAUAUCUUUAUUACUGCAAAACAAAUAGUAAAAAUGAUCAUUUACUGCCGAAAACGAUUUCACCUC
Molecule: long non-coding RNA, 942 nt
Filed under: Ananas comosus (pineapple)
Lineage: Eukaryota; Viridiplantae; Streptophyta; Magnoliopsida; Poales; Bromeliaceae
Description: long non-coding RNA (ACOM_LNC020124)
Source: RNAcentral